Molecule: unclassified non-coding RNA, 1695 nt
Filed under: Leishmania donovani
Lineage: Eukaryota; Euglenozoa; Kinetoplastea; Trypanosomatida; Trypanosomatidae
Description: gene:LdHU3.25.2110(CDS-product:hypothetical_prote in_conserved)
Source: RNAcentral
UAACACACCUCCAGCUACAGGCACCUCCUCUCCUCCGGACCUCGUCAAAAAGGUUUCGCAGCCCGAAACGACAUACACGCACUCAAGUGCAUUCCAUCAAUCACCGCCCCGACACGCUCGCCUUGCCAUGUCGUCCGAGGUUGCGAUUCAGCUGACGCCGUACCCGGCGGCGUUCAUCGUUGAGCACGCCAAGCGCAAGAAGUACGCUGCGGGCUACAUACUCGGCACUGUCAGGGCGGAGGAGAUCGUCAUCACGGACUUCAUUCCGCACACGCACAAGGAUACGGAGGUUCCGAACACGAAGGCCCAUCGCGCAGAGCUGACGCGCCGGCGCGCCGCCAAGCGCCGCUACACGACGCAGGACCUCAUAGGCUGGUACUCGGCGGGGCAGCCUGGUGCGGACCUGACCGAGGAGGACUACCAGCUGUGGUGCAACGCGCCGUCUGUCAUUUUCCAGGGUCGCCACUGCCUUCACCUGCACUGCGAGAUGCCCCACGAAGACGGGACGACGCCGAAGGUGGCGUGGACGGCCUCCGUCGUUUUCGAGGACCCUGCAGAUCGAACGCUGAAGCACAUCGACCACCGGGUCACCCUCGCCCCCAUGAACAACCUUGCCUCGGAUGUGAUGCUGAGCCACAUCACCUCCCUUGUCCUUUACAACGGUGGUCGCCCCUUCCCUCGUAGCAAGCUGCAGAACCUCGACGAGGUGGCGUACGUGGCCUCCAUCGACCACAAGUCCUCGACGGAUGCCGUGGACGAGGAGCAGCGCCGUCUGGAGCGCGCGGUGGCGGCGGCGCAGGAGAUCGUGGCCGGCGGCAGCGGAGGUGGCAAGGAAGAGCAUGAGAUGAUGACCGCCGUCGAGAACUUCCGCGCGAUUCGCGACGAGGCACUGAAGCGCCAGCGUGACCAGACUGGUCGCAUGGACUUCAACUCGCAGCAGUUCAAGGACGCCCUCAUGAUCAAGUGUGCUGCCACGAUCCUGCGCAGGGAGAUCGACCAGAUCGAGCAUCUCUCCACCGUGUACGGCGAAGAUGCCGCUCGCCGCGGCAAUGCCACCGGCGGUGAGAACAACGAGAAGCAGCAGCAACCGGAGAAGCAGCAGCAGUAGAAAGGGGGGUUGCGCCGCUCUAUGUGUAAGAGCGAAAGAAUGAGCAAAAGGGAACCAGUCUGGGCUGAAUGCACCGUUGAGGCGAAGCUGCGCGCGAAGGGGAUAAUCGAGCAGCAGCGCAGACCACAGCGCAACUCCCUUUCCUCUUUCUAGCUGCCUGAAAGUGUGGUUGUGUCGGUGUAUCGGUGUGGUUGCGUAUGUGGGGGGGGGGGGAGGGAGGGGAAGAAGGGGCAUGGAGGUUUGGGAGGGGAGGGGUUUGCAGCGGAGAAAGCGAUGCUGGAGACGGCGCGUUCCUUGCCAUCUUGCCCCCCCCCCGCCACCACCCUCCCCCUCCGCCCCCCACUGCACAGCGCGUAUGCGGGUGGUCGUUCGCUGUCGCCUUCGUUUCGCUUUGUUUUUGCGCGCUCCCCCGCGGCCCCUCUCUCGUUAUCUCUCUCCUGUUUAAUGAGCUAAGUAAGUCCCCGUCAUGGGUUGCGUGCGUGUGCGUCUGUGGGCGUGUGUAUGUGCGUGUGUCUCGCUCUUCGUUCCUUUGUUUUGUUUCGGCGUGCGUUGGUAAGUCGAAGUCGAUGGACUUUCAUUCUGCAUCU